This 184-nucleotide ribosomal RNA is filed under the name Mesocyclops leuckarti. RNAcentral's name for it is "partial 18S ribosomal RNA". It matches the Rfam family "Eukaryotic small subunit ribosomal RNA", at positions 1649 to 1831 of the family's 1831-position model. Lineage: Eukaryota; Metazoa; Arthropoda; Copepoda; Cyclopoida; Cyclopidae. RNAcentral also lists the same sequence under 1 other name. The record is from RNAcentral.
GUCCCUGCCCUUUGUACACACCGCCCGUCGCUACUACCGAUUGAACGUUUUAGUGAGGUAUUUGGACUGGACCUCAGUUGGUUCGCGCCGACUGUGCGUUCGGGAAGACUCCCAAACUUGAGCGUUUAGAGGAAGUAAAAGUCGUAACAAGGUUACCGUAGGUGAACCUGCGGUAGGAUCAUUA